AUACGGAGGGUGCAAGCGUUAAUCGGAAUUACUGGGCGUAAAGCGCGCGUAGGCGGUUUGAUAAGUCGGAUGUGAAAUCCCCGGGCUCAACCUGGGAAUUGCAUUCGAUACUGUCAGGCUAGAGUGUGGUAGAGGGAAGUAGAAUUUCCGGUGUAGCGGUGAAAUGCGUAGAUAUCAGAAGGAACACCAGUGGCGAAGGCGGCUUCCUGGACCAACACUGACGCUGAGGUGCGAAAGCGUGGGGAGCAAACAGGAUUAGAAACCCCAGUAGUCC
Molecule: ribosomal RNA, 274 nt
Filed under: uncultured bacterium
Lineage: Bacteria
Description: partial 16S ribosomal RNA
Rfam family: Bacterial small subunit ribosomal RNA
Source: RNAcentral